CAGUUGGUUAGAAUACCGGCCUGUCACGCCGGGGGUCGCGGGUUCGAGCCCCGUCCGCUCCGCCA
RNAcentral lists this transfer RNA (65 nucleotides) under Burkholderia ubonensis. RNAcentral describes it as "tRNA-Asp". It matches the Rfam family "tRNA", at positions 13 to 71 of the family's 71-position model. From Rfam's summary of the family: Transfer RNA (tRNA) molecules are approximately 80 nucleotides in length. Their secondary structure includes four short double-helical elements and three loops (D, anti-codon, and T loops). Lineage: Bacteria; Pseudomonadati; Pseudomonadota; Betaproteobacteria; Burkholderiales; Burkholderiaceae. The record is from RNAcentral.